AAGACUAUAGACCUGCGGAGUACCUGCGGAGGGAUCAUUAUCAGUUGUGUCUUGCUGUCUGCCUGGCGCCUCCGCUCCUGUGAAGUCUUCGGGGGGUGCUUCAAAGAAGUAUCCGCCGGGGGCCGCCCCCUGAAAGGAAUAUCAGCGGCCAUGGUGAGUGUCUUGAGGUGCGGGAGUUCGGCUUGAAGUGCCUUUCACCCGUGAACACUGAACCUUAUGUUGUCUUGGCGGGCCCGCCGC
This 240-nucleotide unclassified non-coding RNA is filed under the name soil metagenome. RNAcentral's name for it is "partial contains 5.8S ribosomal RNA, internal transcribed spacer 2, and large subunit ribosomal RNA". The record is from RNAcentral.